AGGACGAACGCUGGCGGCGUGCUUAACACAUGCAAGUCGAGCGAGGCUCCUCCUUCGGGAGGAUGCCCUAGCGGCGAACGGGUGAGUAACACGUGGGCAACCUGCCCCCAGCACUGGGAUAACCCCGGGAAACCGGGGCUAAUACCGGAUACGACUUCGGAAGGCAUCUUCUGAAGUGGAAAAGGUUACUGGCUAGGGAUGGGCCCGCGGCCUAUCAGCUUGUUGGUGGGGUAAUGGCCCACCAAGGCGACGACGGGUAGCCGGCCUGAGAGGGCGACCGGCCACACUGGGACUGAGACACGGCCCAGACUCCUACGGGAGGCAGCAGUGGGGAAUAUUGCACAAUGGGCGAAAGCCUGAUGCAGCGACGCCGCGUGAGGGAUGACGGCCUUCGGGUUGUAAACCUCUUUCAGCAGGGACGAAGCGAAAGUGACGGUACCUGCAGAGAAGCACCGGCCAACUACGCGCCAGCAGCCGC
RNAcentral lists this ribosomal RNA (478 nucleotides) under uncultured bacterium. RNAcentral describes it as "SSU rRNA". It matches the Rfam family "Bacterial small subunit ribosomal RNA", at positions 26 to 518 of the family's 1533-position model. The record is from RNAcentral.